Molecule: transfer RNA, 66 nt
Filed under: Margaritifera margaritifera (freshwater pearlshell mussel)
Lineage: Eukaryota; Metazoa; Mollusca; Bivalvia; Unionida; Margaritiferidae
Description: tRNA-Trp
Source: RNAcentral
AAAGGUUUAAGUUAACGAAAACUAAAAGCCUUCAAAGCUUUAAUUGGCCACAAAAACCAACCUUUA